Non-coding RNA from Pelobates cultripes (western spadefoot toad), 235 nucleotides. NCBI's taxonomy places the organism in Eukaryota, Metazoa, Chordata, Amphibia, Anura, Pelobatidae. The record is from the annotation of a GenBank genome assembly.
CUCCGGCUCAGCCAAUCCCCCGGUUCAGGAAGGUCCCAGGACUCCCGGUGGGGUAAGCGGUACCUCUCUUUUCUUCUUUGGAGGGUUUUGCUGCUUGGUGAGUGUACCGUUUGUUAGAGUGGUCGUUUGGCUCGCUCCUUGUGACCUUUGCUUGUUCUGGAGGGCCAUAGGCAGGUCUGUAAUGGGAGCUCUUGUAUUGGCCGUGUCCAGCCUUUGGUGCGUGCCCCUGCUUUUC